This 301-nucleotide ribosomal RNA is filed under the name uncultured bacterium. Its description in RNAcentral is "partial 16S ribosomal RNA". It matches the Rfam family "Bacterial small subunit ribosomal RNA", at positions 509 to 808 of the family's 1533-position model. The record is from RNAcentral.
CAGUCGCCGCGGGAAUACGGGGGGGGCAAGUGUUAUUCGGAAUGACUGGGCGUAAAGGGCACGUAGGCGGUGAAAAGGGUGGAAAGUGAAAGUCGCCAAAACACUGGCGGGGUGCUUUCUUGACCAUUUCACUUGAGUGAGAUAGGGGAGAGUGGAAUUUCGUGUGGAGGGAUCAAAUCCUAAGAUAUACGAAGGAACGCCAACCGCGAAGGCAGCUCUCUGGGUCCCCACUGACGCUGGGGUGCGAAAGCAUGGGGAGCAAACAGGAUCAGAUACCCCAGUAGUCCCUGUCUCUUAUACA